GCAAUAAAGAGUAUUAUUAAUUCUAUCGUGUACAAUAUGCAAUAUUAUACAUAAUUAAACGACCAUGCUACGUACAAAGACUUAGGUUAUUUAUUACAUAUUAUACGGUUAGUAAUAAAAUUUCAAAAUAUUUAACAAAAUACUCUCCAACACACACGAUAUGAAAUUCAAAUUUUCCAUGCUAAAUAUUCGAAUACUUUCCUGAACCAAUGUAUCUAUAUACGUUGGCAUAAUAAUCGUUAACGCAAUGACUAUUUAUGCUAUCCUUAAAAGAAUUAAUACACAUACAGUAUAGAUGGAAAAAUUUGUCAAAUACUUUCAUGACCCAGUAUACGUAGACGCGACAAUUGGCAACGCGAAGACGUUAUAUUAUUCUGAAAAAUUGAUAUACUGACAGAGCUAUUAAAAUGCAAUCUAUCACACGAAACGCAGCCAGUCGGCUAAAUCGGCGAGACGAAUAUACAGGAUAUUUGUAGUCCACUAUUAGAAGAACGGAAGAAGUCGAGAAGCGAAUACCUAUUAUAGGUAGUACGCGAUGCGUGACUAAUGGCGGCAGCCGUAAAAAGAAUCAUGCGAGAUGCUAGGAAUUCAUUCAGAGAAGUCGAACGCAUUAACGUUGCACCGCGAUAGCGCUUUAAUAACAGGCGAUCCAAGGUCGAUAUGGCUCCGCCACUGUGAAAUGUUCAAUGUUCAACGAUUUCACUGCGUUCCAACCUGCAAGCAACUGGCCGCCAGUUUUAUUUACGCUACCGCCAUUUUCUGGACCUCUUAAAAUUGCUCUGCUCUUAGUAAAUUGUCCGAGACCAAAUCAAAGCUUUCUUCCUGAUGGUAAACCGCGCUGAAUUCACGGGCAGGCUGUUACCGUUGAAAGUAAUUCGAUCGAAUGGACGUUGGUUAUUUUCGCUCUAGGGAAUUCCGUUCUAGGGAAUUCUUGGGAAAAUUCCUUUGGUGCAUGGCAUUGUUACAUCGUAGUUAAGAUACUGUAUGGAAUAUAAGUUUCGUUGAGAGUUAAAUAAGUAUAAUUAAAUAACUAGGCAACAGCUAGGUUAAUAGUUAAAUAGCCUGAUAAAAGAAGUACGUGAACAUAUGUGUAUCGGAAGCAAAUAGGAAUAACAGUUGCAAAACAAAUCCCUUUUCAGGACCAGGAAUUUACUAAGUAAAUUAUUAUUAUACGUUUCUUCGAUGAUGAUAUCGAGGUUAUGUCUAACCUCAGUAACGUUAUACCAAAGAAUAAUAAUAUCACUAUAAUGUACAAGCUAUGGAAAUUUCUUUUCAGGAGAAGUCUUGGAAAAUCGGAUUAAAAUAUUACAUAGAAACAAACAUAAAUACUGUUGCUGCAAAGGUACUUUUAAGCAAAUCUUUAUAACGGUUAUAAACAACGAAACACGACCUAAGUACAUAAAAGUUAUCGACACUAAGAAAAGAGAGCCAUAAAUCUAAAGUACACAAACAAACUAAAAAUAUUGCCGAAUACUGAUGACCUUAAUUAAAUUGGUCAAAAUUUUAAUCUUCUAUAAUCUCAAUAUUCUAAUUCUAAUUUUCCAAAAUUGCCAUCUCCCAACAUUUUCAUUUUUCGAAGAUCUCUGCAACCUUUAAAUCAAUGGAACACAGUACAUUUCGAUGUUUAGACGGUUUUAUUGCAAAACGACAGAUUGUAUAUCAAAAUGAGUCAUGGAUCAAAAUCAAGAUCAAGCUGAUGUGAACGUAAAUAUUUUUCUUGAACGAAUUGAAUGUAAGUCUUGAAUGUAAAGCCAGUAACGUUAAACACAGUAGCAUUUAGAAAAGGAUAGUAAAUGUAUAUCCUGCUGCUACCGUGAAAAGCUGAGAUCAGCAAAUUCGAAGAUAAGAAAUAAACCACAUGGCUGGUCAAGAAACGUUAUGAGUAACAUUCGAAUAAAAAUCUGCCAUCGAGUCUGAGUGCAACACCUCAAAGUGCACGACGCAUAAAUUAAGUGUGUGUUACGCAACAGUUUCUCGUCACCUAUAAGCAACAGAGAAUACUAAUAGCUUGAACUAAAAAAUAUAUACCGUCCUGAUAAUUAUAAAUCUACAAGUUCUCAUCGAAGAUCCCCUUAAGAUGAAAUUAAUUUAAAAAUAAAAUCGAAUGACAUUUAAUUAGAAAUUUGGAAGCUUCAUAAAAUGAAAUUUCCAUUCUACUUAUACAUCACUCAAAAAUCUCUAAAUUUGUUUUUUAAUUAAACAAACCUGGAGGUUCUUACGUAAGACCUCUGAAAAAAAAAAAUAUUUUUAAUUCGUGAAUAAACGUUGUUAUUUAGAAUGAGAACUGAAAUUCUCGGAUCAGACGAGGAAGCACGAGGCGCCUGGCCCAGAAACGAGACCAGAGGUCGGUGAUACGUGGAUCGCUGGUCAAAGAUCUCUGCUCAUGUGGCGUGCCACGAGGAAACGACUACCGCAACGCUUGUCCGGCCUCGUUGGAUCGUUUAGCGUCGUUCACGAGCGAGCCUUAAUCACGGUGACCUCGUGCCACUGUUUACGAUCCGCGAGUCGUCACAGUGCUGAUUCGACGUCAUCAAUUUUACCUUUCGUCGCACCACAACUCCGCAAAGUCAUUUUUUAUUAGUCUCGUGCAACGUAGUAUACGUGAUUAGAAUCUACUUGCCAAUAGUGCCGAUAGAAUAGAACUUGUUGAACUAAAAAGUUCAAUUAUUAUUUUGUGACCUAUCGAAUCUGACAAAUUGUCAAAUUUCACAUCGUUUAGACUUUUAUUUCAAAAAUUCUAUACCUUCGUAUCACGCGUUUUUAUAUUUGAAAGUAGGCUAAAAUAAAGUAAAAUAAAAAUGAAUAU
This is a long non-coding RNA of Bombus pyrosoma, 2806 nucleotides long. RefSeq lists it as uncharacterized. The transcript has 3 exons. The record is from RefSeq and is a predicted model, not a curated record. Lineage: Eukaryota; Metazoa; Arthropoda; Insecta; Hymenoptera; Apidae.